Molecule: ribosomal RNA, 860 nt
Filed under: uncultured marine bacterium
Lineage: Bacteria
Description: bacterial SSU rRNA
Rfam family: Bacterial small subunit ribosomal RNA
Source: RNAcentral
GUAACAGGAAUUAGCUUGCUAAUUUGCUGACGAGUGGCGCACGGGUGCGUAACGCGUAUACAAUCUACCUUUUACAGGGGGAUAGCCCAGAGAAAUUUGGAUUAAUAUCCCAUAGUAUUAUUUAUUGGCAUCGAUUAAUAAUUAAAGCUUCGGCGGUAAAAGAUGAGUAUGCGUUCUAUUAGCUAGUAGGUGUGGUAACGGCACACCUAGGCAACGAUAGAUAGGGGCCCUGAGAGGGGGAUCCCCCACACUGGUACUGAGACACGGACCAGACUCCUACGGGAGGCAGCAGUGAGGAAUAUUGGACAAUGGGCGAGAGCCUGAUCCAGCCAUGCCGCGUGCAGGAUGACUGCCCUAUGGGUUGUAAACUGCUUUUAUACAGGAAGAAACGGCUUUACGUGUAGAGCUCUGACGGUACUGUAAGAAUAAGGAUCGGCUAACUCCGUGCCAGCAGCCGCGGUAAUACGGAGGAUCCAAGCGUUAUCCGGAAUCAUUGGGUUUAAAGGGUCCGUAGGUGGAUAAUUAAGUCAGAGGUGAAAUCCUGCAGCUCAACUGUAGAAUUGCCUUUGAUACUGGUUAUCUUGAGUUACUAUGAAGUAGUUAGAAUAUGUAGUGUAGCGGUGAAAUGCAUAGAUAUUACAUAGAAUACCAAUUGCGAAGGCAGAUUACUAAUAGUACACUGACACUGAUGGACGAAAGCGUGGGUAGCGAACGGGAUUAGAUACCCCGGUAGUCCACGCCGUAAACGAUGGUCACUAGCUGUUCGGACUUUUUGUCUGAGUGGCUAAGCGAAAGUGAUAAGUGACCCACCUGGGGGAGUACGUUCGCAAGAAUGAAACUCAAAGGAAUUGACGGGGGCC